Molecule: ribosomal RNA, 200 nt
Filed under: Pseudomonas sp. 3MD1 FL02
Lineage: Bacteria; Pseudomonadati; Pseudomonadota; Gammaproteobacteria; Pseudomonadales; Pseudomonadaceae
Description: partial 16S ribosomal RNA
Rfam family: Bacterial small subunit ribosomal RNA
Source: RNAcentral
GCUACCAUGCAGUCGAGCGGAUGAAGGGGGCUUGCUCCUGGAUUCAGCGGCGGACGGGUGAGUAAUGCCUAGGAAUCUGCCUGGUAGUGGGGGAUAACGUCCGGAAACGGGCGCUAAUACCGCAUACGUCCUGAGGGAGAAAGUGGGGGAUCUUCGGACCUCACGCUAUCACAUGAACCUAGGACGGAUUGACUAGUUGG